UACAGGGGGGGCAAGCGUUGUUCGGAAUUACUGGGCGUAAAGCGUGCGCAGGCGGUUCGUUGUGUCGGUGGUGAAAUCCCCGGGCUUAACCUGGGAAUGGCCAUGGAAACUGGCGGACUGGAGUGCGGCAGAGGGGGGUGGAAUUCCGCGUGUAGCAGUGAAAUGCGUAGAGAUGCGGAGGAACACCGAUGGCGAAGGCAGCCCCCUGGGCUAGCACUGACGCUCAGGCACGAAAGCGUGGGGAGCAAACAGG
Molecule: ribosomal RNA, 253 nt
Filed under: uncultured bacterium
Lineage: Bacteria
Description: partial 16S ribosomal RNA
Rfam family: Bacterial small subunit ribosomal RNA
Source: RNAcentral